CCUACGGGAGGCAGCAGUGGGGAAUAUUGGACAAUGGGCGAAAGCCUGAUCCAGCCAUGCCGCGUGUGUGAAGAAGGCCUUCGGGUUGUAAAGCACUUUCAGUGGGGAAGAAAGCCUUGGGGCUAAUACCCUCGAGGAAGGACAUCACCCACAGAAGAAGCACCGGCUAACUCCGUGCCAGCAGCCGCGGUAAUACGGAGGGUGCGAGCGUUAAUCGGAAUUACUGGGCGUAAAGCGCGCGUAGGCGGUCUGAUAAGCCGGUUGUGAAAGCCCCGGGCUCAACCUGGGAACGGCAUCCGGAACUGUCAGGCUAGAGUGCAGGAGAGGAAGGUAGAAUUCCCGGUGUAGCGGUGAAAUGCGUAGAGAUCGGGAGGAAUACCAGUGGCGAAGGCGGCCUUCUGGACUGACACUGACGCUGAGGUGCGAUAGCGUGGGUAGCAAACAGGAUUAGAUACCCUAGUAGUC
RNAcentral lists this ribosomal RNA (465 nucleotides) under Vreelandella stevensii. Its description in RNAcentral is "partial 16S ribosomal RNA". It matches the Rfam family "Bacterial small subunit ribosomal RNA", at positions 338 to 795 of the family's 1533-position model. Lineage: Bacteria; Pseudomonadati; Pseudomonadota; Gammaproteobacteria; Oceanospirillales; Halomonadaceae. The record is from RNAcentral.